RNAcentral lists this ribosomal RNA (160 nucleotides) under uncultured bacterium. RNAcentral describes it as "partial 16S ribosomal RNA". It matches the Rfam family "Bacterial small subunit ribosomal RNA", at positions 333 to 508 of the family's 1533-position model. The record is from RNAcentral.
GGACUCCGUACGGGAGGCAGCAGUGGGGAAUCUUGCGCAAUGGGGGGAACCCUGACGCAGCGACGCCGCGUGCGGGACGGAGGCCUUCGGGUCGUAAACCGCUUUCAGCAGGGAAGAGUCAAGACUGUACCUGCAGAAGAAGCCCCGGCUAACUACGUGC